This 734-nucleotide ribosomal RNA is filed under the name Salmonella enterica subsp. enterica serovar Derby. RNAcentral describes it as "partial 23S ribosomal RNA". It matches the Rfam family "Bacterial large subunit ribosomal RNA", at positions 2069 to 2802 of the family's 2925-position model. The record is from RNAcentral. RNAcentral also lists the same sequence under 1 other name. Lineage: Bacteria; Pseudomonadati; Pseudomonadota; Gammaproteobacteria; Enterobacterales; Enterobacteriaceae.
CCCGCGGCAAGACGGAAAGACCCCGUGAACCUUUACUAUAGCUUGACACUGAACAUUGAGCCUUGAUGUGUAGGAUAGGUGGGAGGCUUUGAAGCGUGGACGCCAGUCUGCGUGGAGCCGGCCUUGAAAUACCACCCUUUAAUGUUUGAUGUUCUAACGUGGACCCGUGAUCCGGGUUGCGGACAGUGUCUGGUGGGUAGUUUGACUGGGGCGGUCUCCUCCUAAAGAGUAACGGAGGAGCACGAAGGUUGGCUAAUCCUGGUCGGACAUCAGGAGGUUAGUGCAAUGGCAUAAGCCAGCUUGACUGCGAGCGUGACGGCGCGAGCAGGUGCGAAAGCAGGUCAUAGUGAUCCGGUGGUUCUGAAUGGAAGGGCCAUCGCUCAACGGAUAAAAGGUACUCCGGGGAUAACAGGCUGAUACCGCCCAAGAGUUCAUAUCGACGGCGGUGUUUGGCACCUCGAUGUCGGCUCAUCACAUCCUGGGGCUGAAGUAGGUCCCAAGGGUAUGGCUGUUCGCCAUUUAAAGUGGUACGCGAGCUGGGUUUAGAACGUCGUGAGACAGUUCGGUCCCUAUCUGCCGUGGGCGCUGGAGAACUGAGGGGGGCUGCUCCUAGUACGAGAGGACCGGAGUGGACGCAUCACUGGUGUUCGGGUUGUCAUGCCAAUGGCACUGCCCGGUAGCUAAAUGCGGAAGAGAUAAGUGCUGAAAGCAUCUAAGCACGAAACUUGCCCCGA